GCCCAUUCGACAUCUUUCCUGCUCAGAAAAGGGAGCGGCUCUCCCAAGUAGACGGCCAAGUUGCUGUUCUCUGCUCAACAGGACUUGCCAAAUGUAAGCCGCCGGGCGGGGCGUUGCUCUUUCUGCCGAUUGGUGCUGGCGAGUGGGAAACAGAAAAGGAAAGCGAAAUCUCUCCUCCACCAAAUAAGACACCACUGCUCCAGCAAUGCGCCUCCUGUGGCUAAAAUGGAGAGGGUGUGAAAGCACGAGAUUCAGGACUUCCCCGCAGGGAGGUGAAGAGGAACAGAUGUCACCACGCCUUGGCUGGUGAAUGCAGGCAGGUCCUUACACCGCCUUGGUGUAAGACUGCCAGGGACAGGUGGAGAGAUGAAGUU
Molecule: long non-coding RNA, 374 nt
Organism: Hipposideros armiger (great roundleaf bat)
Lineage: Eukaryota; Metazoa; Chordata; Mammalia; Chiroptera; Hipposideridae
Exons: 3
Source: RefSeq, a predicted model, not a curated record